This 323-nucleotide ribosomal RNA is filed under the name uncultured Actinomycetes bacterium. Its description in RNAcentral is "bacterial SSU rRNA". It matches the Rfam family "Bacterial small subunit ribosomal RNA", at positions 28 to 351 of the family's 1533-position model. The record is from RNAcentral. Lineage: Bacteria; Bacillati; Actinomycetota; Actinomycetes.
GAUGAACGCUAGCGGGAGGCUUACACAUGCAAGUCGAACGAGAAGUCGGAGCUUGCUCCGGCAGACAGUGGCGAACGGGUGAGUAACACGUGAGUAACCUGCCCCCGACUCUGGGACAACUCUGGGAAACUGGAGCUAAUACCGGAUACGCGACGAGACCGCAUGGUCAUCGUCGGGAAAGAAUUUCGGUCAGGGGAUGGACUCGCGGCCUAUCAGCUUGUUGGCGGGGUAACGGCCCACCAAGGCGACGACGGGUAGCCGGCCUGAGAGGGCGACCGGCCACACUGGAACUGAGACACGGUCCAGACUCCUACGGGUGGCAG